UUACCAAGGCUUGACAUGGUAGAAGUAGGGAAACCUGAAAGGGGGACGACCUGUUGAGUCAGGAGCUAUCACAGGUGCUGCAUGGCUGUCGUCAGCUCGUGCCGUGAGGCGUUAGGUUAAGUCCUGUAACGAGCGCAACCCUUGUUGUCAGUUGAUUUCUCUGGCGAGACUGCCUCGAAACGGGGAGGAAGGUGGGGAUGACGUCAAGUCAGCAUGGCCCUUAUGCCUUGGGCUACACACACGCUACAAUGGGUGGUACAAUAGGCAGCAAUGGAGCGAUCCGGAGCUAAUCCUCUAAAACCAUCCUCAGUUCGGAUUGCAGGCUGAAAUUCGCCUGCAUGAAGUCGGAGUUGCUAGUAACCGCGUAUCAGCAUGGCGCGGUGAAUACGUUCUCGGGCCUU
This 401-nucleotide ribosomal RNA is filed under the name uncultured Chloroflexota bacterium. RNAcentral describes it as "bacterial SSU rRNA". It matches the Rfam family "Bacterial small subunit ribosomal RNA", at positions 971 to 1382 of the family's 1533-position model. The record is from RNAcentral. Lineage: Bacteria; Bacillati; Chloroflexota.